CACGUAGGCACCAAGUGUUGUCCGGAUUUAUUGGGCGUAAAGAGCUCGUAGGCGGUUCAGUAAGUCGGGUGUGAAAACUCUGGGCUCAACCCAGAGACGCCACCCGAUACUGCUGUGACUUGAGUACGGUAGGGGAGUGGGGAAUUCCUGGUGUAGCGGUGAAAUGCGCAGAUAUCAGGAGGAACACCAGUGGCGAAGGCGCCACUCUGGGCCGUAACUGACGCUGAGGAGCGAAAGCCAGGGGAGCAAACGGG
This 254-nucleotide ribosomal RNA is filed under the name uncultured bacterium. RNAcentral's name for it is "partial 16S ribosomal RNA". It matches the Rfam family "Bacterial small subunit ribosomal RNA", at positions 524 to 776 of the family's 1533-position model. The record is from RNAcentral.